UAUUGGGCGUAAAGAGCUCGUAGGGCGGUCUGUCGCGUCUGCUUGUGAAAUUCCCGAGGCUCAACCUCGGGCUUGCAGUGGGUACGGGCAGACUAGAGUGCGGUAGGGGAGAUUGGAAUUUCCUGGUGUAGCGGUGGAAUGCGCAGAUAUCAGGAGGAACACCGAUGGCGAAGGCAGAUCUCUGGGCCGUUACUGACGCUGAGGAGCGAAAGGGUGGGGAGCAAACAGGCUUAGAUACCCUGGUAGUCCACCCCGUAAACGUUGGGAACUAGUUGUGGGGUCCUUUCCACGGAUUCCGUGACGUAGCUAACGCAUUAAGUUCCCCGCCUGGGGAGUACGGCCGCAAGGCUAAAACUCAAAGGAAUUGACGGGGACCCGCACAAGCGGCGGAGCAUGCGGAUUAAUUCGAUGCAACGCGAAGAACCUUACCAAGGCUUGACAUACACCAGAACGGGCCAGAAAUGGUCAACUCUUUGGACACUGGUGAACAGGUGGUGCAUGGUUGUCGUCAGCUCGUGUCGUGAGAUGUUGGGUUAAGUCCCGCAACGAGCGCAACCCUCGUUCUAUGUUGCCAGCACGUUAUGGUGGGAACUCAUGGGAUACUGCCGGGGUCAACUCGGAGGAAGGUGGGGAUGACGUCAAAUCAUCAUGCCCCUUAUGUCUUGGGCUUCACGCAUGCUACAAUGGCCGGUACAAUGGGCUGCGAUACCGCGAGGUGGAGCGAAUCCCAAAAAGCCGGUCCCAGUUCGGAUUGAGGUCUGCAACUCGACCUCAUGAAGUCGGAGUCGCUAGUAAUCGCAGAUCAGCAACGCUGCGGUGAAUACGUUCCCGGGUCUUGUACACACCGCCC
RNAcentral lists this ribosomal RNA (850 nucleotides) under Actinomycetes bacterium. Its description in RNAcentral is "bacterial SSU rRNA". It matches the Rfam family "Bacterial small subunit ribosomal RNA", at positions 552 to 1395 of the family's 1533-position model. Lineage: Bacteria; Bacillati; Actinomycetota; Actinomycetes. The record is from RNAcentral.